Long non-coding RNA from Panthera uncia (snow leopard), 563 nucleotides. RefSeq lists it as uncharacterized. The record is from RefSeq and is a predicted model, not a curated record. The transcript is spliced from 3 exons. Lineage: Eukaryota; Metazoa; Chordata; Mammalia; Carnivora; Felidae.
ACACGCGCUCUGGGCCGCGGCAACUCGCUCCAAGUUCCCUCCCUCGCGCUCCGCGAAGCCCGCCUGAGCCCUCCCACUCGGUGCAGACCGAACCAUCGCGGCCGCCGCCGGCCGGGCCCUCCACGGCCUUGCGUCCCGGGCCGCCUCGGCUCGCGCGGGCAGCUCCGUAUCCGUGGCCCCGCGGAGGCGGCGCGAGGACUCGGCGGCCCCCGCGGCCCGCGCUCGGCCCUCCGGCGGCGCCGGCGGCCCGGACCCCGCGUGUGGCGGGCCCGACCUUCCUACCCGUCGUCCCCGGGAGCUUGGCGCCCGGCCGCGGACCGCACCGCCCGGGGCCGGGGAGCGCGGCCGAGGAGGCGCGGUGAUCGGCAUGUGCUAGCCUAAAAGGGAACGUGCCCGGCGAAGUUUUCCUGAGGAAGGUCAUCCCCGAGCUGAGUCACAUCUACCUCCCUAAGAAAUCCCCAGUUGGGCAUCCAGAGCGCCUACCCUGUUCUUUCUGCAUCUUGAAUCGAGCGUUAACAGGACACUAAGGUCUGAAGGGGAAAUAAAAGGUAAUUAAAACUUUU